GGGCAAUUAGCUCAGUUGGUAGAGCAGCUGACUCUUAAUCAGCGGGUCACAGGUUCGAGCCCUGUAUUGCCCACCA
This 76-nucleotide transfer RNA is filed under the name Pseudomonadota bacterium. RNAcentral's name for it is "Proteobacteria bacterium (groundwater metagenome) tRNA-Lys". It matches the Rfam family "tRNA". Rfam says of the family: Transfer RNA (tRNA) molecules are approximately 80 nucleotides in length. Their secondary structure includes four short double-helical elements and three loops (D, anti-codon, and T loops). Further hydrogen bonds mediate the characteristic L-shaped molecular structure. tRNAs have two regions of fundamental functional importance: the anti-codon, which is responsible for specific mRNA codon recognition, and the 3' end, to which the tRNAs corresponding amino acid is attached (by aminoacyl-tRNA synthetases). tRNAs cope with the degeneracy of the genetic code in two manners: having more than one tRNA (with a specific anti-codon) for a particular amino acid; and 'wobble' base-pairing, i.e. permitting non-standard base-pairing at the 3rd anti-codon position. Lineage: Bacteria; Pseudomonadati; Pseudomonadota. The record is from RNAcentral.